UUUUCUUUCCUGGGCAAAGCUGACCUGGGUUUGCCUAUUCUCAGCCCUGCGUAAAUCACCGCACUGCACCGAGGGGCUGCCAGGAGGUACGAUUUCAGGAUGUUCCCAUUGGUCAGACCCACUAAUGGGAAGCACUUCUGCCCAUGGUUAAGACCUUACUGGAAGGGUUGCUACAGAAGCUAUGACAGGAAAGCCGAAAGCGUUUUUGCUGCGCUGACUUUUCUCUGAUAUAUGGGAGUGAUGUGACGUAUAUUACUCGAUCUGAAAAGGAGAAACAUUCAAAGUCCAUGAAGCAAAUAAUAAAUUUAUGG
Molecule: long non-coding RNA, 311 nt
Filed under: Gallus gallus (chicken)
Lineage: Eukaryota; Metazoa; Chordata; Aves; Galliformes; Phasianidae
Description: long non-coding RNA NONGGAT012881
Source: RNAcentral